Long non-coding RNA from Rhagoletis zephyria (snowberry fruit fly), 373 nucleotides. RefSeq lists it as uncharacterized. NCBI's taxonomy places the organism in Eukaryota, Metazoa, Arthropoda, Insecta, Diptera, Tephritidae. The record is from RefSeq and is a predicted model, not a curated record.
UUGUACGAACAGAUUUGCGGUCGAGUCAAUCCGAAUUGGAAGUGUAGAACUUUUGUUGUGUUCAGCUAGCAAAGCAUUUUAUUUAACAAAGUAAAAGUAGGAAUAAAACAGUGUUGAAUAAAUAAAUGAGCUAGCGAAAGAUUAGCUAGCAAAGUGUACAUACAUACAUAUAUGCAUUUACAAACGGGAAAUAUUUUUCUAUUAUAAAAAUACAGAAAUUAUUUAAUCAAAUUUUAAUUAUCUGGUGAGAGCAAAAAAAGUGAGGCGCGUUUAAAAAGGAGUGUCUGCGUAUGUUGCAGGGGAAAUGUGUUAACGAACAGCAGCACAAAAACGUAACGAAACAAGAAAGAAUAAACGACAAGCAGCAAAAAGA